GACGAACGCUGGCGGCGUGCCUAAUACAUGCAAGUAGAACGCACAGUUUAUACCGUAGCUUGCUACACCAUAGACUGUGAGUUGCGAACGGGUGAGUAACGCGUAGGUAACCUGCCUGGUAGCGGGGGAUAACUAUUGGAAACGAUAGCUAAUACCGCAUAAUAUUGAUUAUUGCAUGAUAAUUGAUUGAAAGAUGCUAUUGCAUCACUACCAGAUGGACCUGCGUUGUAUUAGCUAGUAGGUGAGGUAACGGCUCACCUAGGCGACGAUACAUAGCCGAACUGAGAGGGUGAUCGGCCACACUGGGACUGAGACACGGCCCAGACUCCUACGGGAGGCAGCAGUAGGGAAUCUUCGGCAAUGGACGAAAGUCUGACCGAGCAACGCCGCGGGAGUGAAGAAGGGUUUCGGAUCGUAAAGCUCUGUUGUAAGAGAAGAACGGGUGUGAGAGUGGAAAGUUCACACUGUGACGGUAUCUGACCAGAAAGGGACGGCUAACUACGUG
This 505-nucleotide ribosomal RNA is filed under the name uncultured bacterium. RNAcentral's name for it is "partial 16S ribosomal RNA". It matches the Rfam family "Bacterial small subunit ribosomal RNA", at positions 28 to 507 of the family's 1533-position model. The record is from RNAcentral.